CUCCAAAAUACUUAGUAAUUAGAGAUGCUACUCAUCAGGAGGAAAAUGACAAAGUUGACAUUUCUACUGAAAAGUCACUGGAGCCAAAGAAUCUGUCUCCAAAUAUAUUAAUGAGAGGAAGUUGCUUCAGGAUGGUGGUUGGUGGUAAUCACUAAUUCUAAAAAUAAUAUUUUCUUUCCAUCAGUUCUACCAAGUCCACUCAGGUCCCCAGAAGUCUCAUCUUCUUUGUAAAGUCAUAUCGGAUAAUGGGCUUGGCUUUCAUAGACUAUAGUAGAAAGAAUGUCAAAGAGUGUUCUGAUUCUACCCUGCUAAUGAGGUGUACUAAACUGUGGGGUAGGCCUAGAGUUCAUUGGCAUUGACACAUUGGAUUGGCUAGCAAAAUCCAAGCCACACACAGAGCAGAGUCUCUGAGGGAGAGGGAACAAACUCAAGGUAUCUCAACUACUCUGUCCUGCCAUGGUCUAAAAGGCUAAUAAUAGUCUCAGUUCAUCCUCAGGGAAUUCCAGUCUUACUCACAGCCAACAAAGUCCAAACAUAAAGGGUGAACAGAUGUUCCUCUUCUUCUCCUUUCCAGAAUCAGCUUCCCCUACUAGUCUCCUCCAGGGUCACCUGGAGCUUUCCCCUGUGUGGAAAGCCCAUCAUUCCCUUCUGACAUGUAGCUGCAUCCUCACUCUUAAUUAGCAGGUCUUGUUUCACACAGACACCCAAGAACCUGCCUUGGCAGCUACAGUUGGGUCUGGGAUGUUCACAUAAUUAGUGUCCCACGUAUAAAAAAAAAAAAUAAACACAGGUCUUUCUCUCACUGACAUAGACCACCCCUCAUUGUGCAACUUUGAUGUAUUAUUAUGCUAAGACCCCCUGUCCACCUUGGCUAGAGAUGGGAAGGAUAAAAGGGAACGCCUGACCUUGCCAUAUAUAGGAACCCUGAUUCCAGCCUGGAGCUGCCAAUAUCCGUUACAUGCAUUUAGGAAACGCACUUCUCUCUGGGUCUCAGUUUCCUCCUUUGAAAAAACACUCUCAGGACAUCAGAUUCAGUCCCAGCACUAAUGUCAGUCUUGCUUUUCUGCCAUUUACCCCGUAUCACACUCUUUAGUGCCGGAGAGUCUGAGGCUGUGUACGUGUUAUUGUUUCUUCCCAAUUUAAUAUUAAACUCAUUGACUCGCUGCAUCUUAGAACCCAAAGAGAUUCUAGCCAACUUCAAAUCAGGCUCAGAAAGGAGGCAUGGCCAGCCCAAACUCAAAGCUGUUACCAUCCAUACCGCACAUUGUCCCCAACGGGAUUCAUGGCAGUUUAAUAGAAU
Molecule: long non-coding RNA, 1300 nt
Filed under: Marmota monax (woodchuck)
Lineage: Eukaryota; Metazoa; Chordata; Mammalia; Rodentia; Sciuridae
Source: RNAcentral